Molecule: long non-coding RNA, 491 nt
Filed under: Glycine max (soybean)
Lineage: Eukaryota; Viridiplantae; Streptophyta; Magnoliopsida; Fabales; Fabaceae
Description: long non-coding RNA (GMAX_LNC003544)
Source: RNAcentral
CCAAAUCCAGUCUAAAAGAACAAAAUGAAGAGGAAAAAUUCAAAGGAUUCUUUCCAAAACCAAUUCCAAUUAUUAAACCUAUUUCAAAGCCCAUUCCCAUUAUUAAACCUAUUCCAAAGUCAAUUCCUAUUGUUAAACCUAUUCCUAUUCCAGUUUAUAAGCCUAUAUCAAAACCAAUUCCCAUCGUUAAGCCUAUUCCGAAGCCAUUUCUGAUUGUUAAACCAAUUCCUAAUGACGAAGAAAAAUUCAAAGGUGUUUUUCCAAAACCUAUUCCCAUAGUUAAGCCAAUUCCAAAGCCAAUUCCCAUUGUUAAGCCUAUCCCUAUUCCAAUAUAUAAGCCUAUACCAAAAUCAGUUCCCAUUGUGAAACCAAUUCCUAUUAUUAAACCAAUACUAAAGCCAAAUCCCAUUGUUAAGCCAAUUCCAAAGCUGAUUCCCAUUGUUAAGCCUAUACCAAACCCAUUAAGAGUGAAAAAGUCUAUCCCUGCUUUU